This 443-nucleotide long non-coding RNA is filed under the name Homo sapiens (human). RNAcentral describes it as "HSALNT0116367". Lineage: Eukaryota; Metazoa; Chordata; Mammalia; Primates; Hominidae. The record is from RNAcentral.
GAAACAUGGCCUUCGAUGUUGCCCACUUGGCAGUUUCCACCAUUGUUGACUCACUUAGGCUGAUGGCAGCUGCCUCUGCUGGGAAGGAAGCGUUUUUCCCACAACAUAUUAAAUGCGGCACUGGAGGAUGGCUGGCUGGUCCAGGGGCCGGAUCUGGCUCUGUUGCUCACAAUGAUUCUGUUUGGCAAGCGUUUUUAAAAAGCCUUGAAAAGAAGAAAUGCGUGAGGAUUGAAAUUGGCAACCAAUCUUUGAAAGCCUAGUAGACACCCGAUGCCUUCAACAUGUCUUAUAUGACCCUUGCCUCCAGCCUGUAAGGCUGGAGUGCAGUGGUGUGAUCUCAGCUCACUGAAACCUCCGCCUCCCGGAUUCAAGCAAUUCUCUUGCCUCAGCCUCCUGAGUAGCUGGGAUUACAGGUACCCUCUAUCAUGCCCGGGUAAUUUAAA